CCCGGGAGGCAGAGCUUACAGUGACCCAAGAUCGCGCCACUGCACUCCAGCCUGGGAGACAGAGCGAGACUCUGUCUCAAAAAAAAAAAAAAAAUUUAGGCGGGCGUGGUGGUAUGCACCUGUAAUCUCAGCUACUUGGGAGGCUGAGGCAGGAGAAUUGCUUGAACCUGGGAGGUGGAGGUUGCAGUGAGCUGAGAUUGUGCCACCGCACUCCAGCCUGGAUGACAGAGUGAGACUCUGUCUCAAAACAAAAAACAAAAAACUAACAAAAAAAAAAAAAAAAAGAGAGAAACCAGCAUGCUUUUAGUACAAUGUUAGAAAAUUAUUUAACAUAGCCAUUUCGACAUCUUAAAUAUUUUGCAGGUAGAGACGGUCCCUGACAAUGGUCCACCUUUAAGAUGGCGUGAAAGUGCUAUAUGUUCGGUAUAAAGCUGUAUGAUACUCUUUUGACAUGCUGGGCCAGUCGCUGUCAGCCACACCAUUAACUGUGUUGCUCAGCUGCGGGAAAAAAAAAAAGAAAAUCUCCUGGGCAUACUUGUAUCCUGCUUUGGUGACACAGAACUCUAAGCAUCCUAGGUUAGGAUUUGGAGCAUUAGGGAGCAUGCUGAGGAUGGAAGGGGAGUGGGAAAGUGAGCCACAGGUGCACGCCUAGGCCUCAACUGUCAGAGGGCUUCUUCUUAACUUGUUCCAGGUAUGGUUAAUGCUGUCUUGUAGAUGAGUAUUACUGUUAGCUGGAUUCCCAUUAACCAACAUUUUUUUGACCGACACUUUUGCAGUUUUCGAAUCCCUAACUCAAGGGACAAAACUUUUUAAUUGACUUCAGCCAGGUUUUUUUACCACUGGGAUAAAUUUAGAUUUUAUUAUGCACACACACAUCCUUUUAAAAAAUAUCACCCAGCUUUAUAUUUGUAUCCCAAAUAUUUUUUCGCAGCUGUAGAAUUCUCACCUCGGCUGUGCUUUUGAGAUGUGCUAAUUCUACCAUACAGUGCUGGCUGGGCAGUCACUUGAAAUGAGGGCUACUAUUUUUUCAAUUCAAUUUCUUUUCUUUCUUUCUUUUUUUUUUUUUUCUUUUUGAGACAAGAGUCUUGCUCUUGUUGCCCAGGUUGGAGUGCAAUGGCACGCAAUCUUGGCUCACUACAACCUCCGCUUCCUGGGUUCAAGCAAUUCUCCUGCCUCAGGCUCCCGAGUAGCUGGGAUUCCAGAUGCACACCACCACGCCGGGCUAAUGUUUGUAUUUUUAGUAGAGACGGGGUUUACACCAUGUUGGCCAGGCUGGUCUUGAACUCUUGACCUCGUGAUCCAUUCGCCUCGGCCUCCCAAAGUGCUGGGAUUACAGACAUGAGCCACUGCACCUGGCCUGUUCAACUCAAUUUCUAAGCCCAUAGGUCUCCUUCAGGCUUUGAAAUAGCCAAGAGACCAAGCUCCCAAGAUAUGUGUGAGAAACUAAAGUGUGCAAGGACAAGAGAAGCUCUAAGAUGAAUAGAUUGUCUUGUUUCAUUUAUACUGCAAUUGCUAAAAUGACAUGCUUUGGGGACAUUUG
RNAcentral lists this long non-coding RNA (1540 nucleotides) under Macaca mulatta (Rhesus monkey). RNAcentral describes it as "lncRNA (ENSMMUG00000052474.1)". Lineage: Eukaryota; Metazoa; Chordata; Mammalia; Primates; Cercopithecidae. The record is from RNAcentral.